RNAcentral lists this ribosomal RNA (378 nucleotides) under uncultured bacterium. RNAcentral's name for it is "bacterial SSU rRNA". It matches the Rfam family "Bacterial small subunit ribosomal RNA", at positions 29 to 512 of the family's 1533-position model. The record is from RNAcentral.
AUGAACGUUAGCAAAAUGCCUACACAUGCUAAUCGAUUGGCUUGUUAAGAGUCAUGGUGUAAUGGUGAGUAAUACGUGCGAAGUCUGCAUCUUUGUUAGAAAUAGGCAAAGAAAUGAACGCACGUCAGAUUAGGUAGUAGAUUUUGUAAUGAAAUCUAGCCGAUGAUCUGUAGAGGUUUUUAACGAUUGGACCUCCACACUCGAAUUGAAAAGAGUUCGAGGCUUCAUUGGAAGCCAGCAGUGAGGAGACUUGGGCAAUGAGGGCAACCUUGACCCAGCAAUUUUGCGUUGGUGAUGACGGCAACUUGUUGUUGUAAAACCAUAACUUAGAGGAGAAAGAAGAUUGUACUCUAAGGGAUAAGGCCGACAAAUGCUAGU